Petromyzon marinus (sea lamprey) is the source of this 417-nucleotide non-coding RNA. NCBI's taxonomy places the organism in Eukaryota, Metazoa, Chordata, Hyperoartia, Petromyzontiformes, Petromyzontidae. The record is from RefSeq and is a predicted model, not a curated record.
ACCGGCCUUCAUAGGUGCUCGCUAACAGCACUUGCCCCGACAGUCUGUUAAGGCUACACGGGGGACCUUUAUCUUUGUCUUUGUGUUACAGGAACUAUUUUGGAAAAGCAACGGCGAGCACCUUUGGAGGUUCUGGACGACGUCGAUCCCGACGUCAUCCCAGAGCCAGACUACGACCCUGAGUUUGAGCCCACGAAGACCAGCGUGAUUGCACUGAUCGUGAUCGUGCCAGCCAUGCUAUGCUUAAUCGUCUUCUGCAUCGUAAUGUGCUUCACGCGAAAUAAAAAAUCAACGUCUGCCCCCGACAUGGAAAAGGGAUUGGACGCUGCGGAAGAGCAGAACCGACAGGAGCCCGAUGUGAAGAUGCCUGGGCAUCCAACGAAGCCUGCCCGGGAAAAUCAAACCAAAAAAGCCGGC